AGUGAACGCUGGCGGUAGGCCUAACACAUGCAAGUCGAACGGCAGCACAGUAAGAGCUUGCUCUUAUGGGUGGCGAGUGGCGGAAGGGUGAGGAAUACAUCGGACUCUACUUUUUCGUGGGGGAUAACGUAGGGAAACUUACGCUAAUAUAGCAUACGAUCUACGGGGGAAAGGAGGGGAACUUCGCACCUUGCGCGAUUGAAUGAGCCGAUGUGGGAUUUGUUAGUUGGCGGGGUAAAGACCCACCAAGGGGACGAUCCGUAGCUGGUGUGAGAGGAUGAUCGGCCGCACUGGAGCGGAGACACGGACCAGGCUCCUGAGGUAGGCAGCAGUGGGGAACAGUGGGCAAUGGGCGCAAGCCUGAUCCAGCCAUACCGCGUGGGUGAAGGAGGCCUUCGGGUUGUAAUGCCCGUUUGUGGGGAAAGAAAAGCAGCAGGUUAAGACCCCGCUGUUCUGACGGUACCCAAUGAAUAAGCACCGGCUAACUUCGUG
RNAcentral lists this ribosomal RNA (492 nucleotides) under uncultured bacterium. Its description in RNAcentral is "partial 16S ribosomal RNA". It matches the Rfam family "Bacterial small subunit ribosomal RNA", at positions 29 to 507 of the family's 1533-position model. The record is from RNAcentral.